AGAGUUUGAUCAUGGCUCAGAUUGAACGCUGGCGGCAGGCCUAACACAUGCAAGUCGAACGGUAACAUUUCUAGCUUGCUAGAAGAUGACGAGUGGCGGACGGGUGAGUAAUGCUUGGGAACUUGCCUUUGCGAGGGGGAUAACAGUUGGAAACGACUGCUAAUACCGCAUAACGUCUACGGACCAAACGGGGCUUAGGCUCCGGCGCAAAGAGAGGCCCAAGUGAGAUUAGCUAGUUGGUAAGGUAAAGGCUUACCAAGGCAACAAUCUCUAGCUGUUCUGAGAGGAAGAUCAGCCACACUGGAACUGAGACACGGUCCAGACUCCUACCGGAAGCAGCAGUGGGGAAUAUUGCACAAUGGGGG
RNAcentral lists this ribosomal RNA (365 nucleotides) under uncultured gamma proteobacterium DCM-ATT-13. RNAcentral's name for it is "bacterial SSU rRNA". It matches the Rfam family "Bacterial small subunit ribosomal RNA", at positions 8 to 377 of the family's 1533-position model. The record is from RNAcentral. Lineage: Bacteria; Pseudomonadati; Pseudomonadota; Gammaproteobacteria.